RNAcentral lists this ribosomal RNA (2818 nucleotides) under Candidatus Hodgkinia cicadicola. RNAcentral describes it as "bacterial LSU rRNA". It matches the Rfam family "Bacterial large subunit ribosomal RNA". The record is from RNAcentral. Lineage: Bacteria; Pseudomonadati; Pseudomonadota; Alphaproteobacteria; Hyphomicrobiales.
GCUUGUGAUUUAUUGCAUCCGGUGGAUGCCUUGAUAUUCACCAAACGAGCAGUUUAUACAGAUAACAACGAAGUUGCUGCUUCUAGAGCAGCUAGUGAUCGGUUGUUGAAACCACCUAGCUAAUCACAACACAGGGAACUGAAACAUCUUAGUACCUGUUGAGAAAAGAUAUCCAAGAUAUUUCGUUAGUAACAGCGAGUGAAACCGAACCAGGCUGAUCUGGUAACCUUAGUUCGUUGGUAAUUGUCAGGAUAGACAAGCGAUACACGGUGAUAGCCCAUAGCCAUUAACAACGAGGUUAACCAUUAAAAGUAGGAUGGAACACAAUGGAUUCCGUCCGAAGAUAGGAGGACCACCUUCUAAGCCUAAACAUUGGGAACAAUCGAUAGUGAACUAGUACCGUGAGGGAAAGGUGAAACAGAUGUCCGAACAGGACAGUGAAACAGAUCCUGAAACCGGAUGCUAACAAGCAGUCGGAGGGUCCAAAGACCUGACGACGUACCUUUUGUAUAAUGGGUCAACGAGUUACUGUCACAAGCAAAGCCGAGGCUUAUACCGAGGCGAAGCGAAAGCAAGUCCACAAAGGGCAUGAUAUAAACUUAAUGUUUAUUACGUUUGUGGCAUUAAACCCGAAACCGAGUGAUCUAACCAUGGACAGAUUGAAGAUCAGUUGAACUGACCGAAGGAUCGAACCCGUACGUGUUGCAAAACGUUGGGAUGAUCUGUGGUUAGGGGUGAAAGACCAAUCAAACUCGGAGAUAGCUGGUUCUCUGCGAAAUCUAUUUAAGUAGAGUNGCAAAACGUUGGGAUGAUCUGUGGUUAGGGGUGAAAGGCCAAUCAAACUCGGAGAUAGCUGGUUCUCUGCGAAACCUAUGUAGGUAGGUUGUUAGCUGAAUCUCAAGGAGGGGUAGAGCACUGGAUGGAUGGGCAUAACGAGAGUUAUGUUAAGUUCAACCAAACUUCGAAUACUGUUGAUGAAUUAUUGGUUAAUAAUCACACCAUGAGCUUAACGUCCAUGGUGGAGAGGGGAACAACCCAGACCUUAGAAUAAGGUCCUUAAAUCUGAUCUAAGUGAGGAAGAUGGCAGUUGUUCAAUGUCGAUCAGGAUGUAGGCUUAGAAGUGGCCAUCAUCUAAGGAAAGCGUAACAGCUCACUGAUUAACGAAUGAUCUGUAUCGAAAAUGUAACGGGACUAAGAUCAGUACCGAAGUCAAGGGUGUUGCUAAUUAAGCAACGCAGUAGCAGAGCAUUCCGUAGGCCAUUGAAGGCAACCCGUGAGGGUUGUUGGAGGCAUCGGAAGUGAGAAUGUUGACAUGAGUAACGAUAAUUGAAAGAAAGAACCUUUCACACCGAAUGAUCAAGGUUUCCAUAUUUGAAAGUUAAUCUGAAUGGGGUUAGCCGAUCCCUAAGGUAAAGCGCAAGCGCAUAGCCGAUGGUAAUCACGUUAAUAUUCGUGAGCCUUCUACAAGUGACUUAAUUCGAACCAUGUCUCUGUCUAAAUGGAUUGACAUGGCAUGUUAGGAUUAACAAGAAAAAGCUUGUGGAUUUUGUUCGUACCGAAAACUGACACAGGUGAUCGGGUAGAGUAUACCAAGGUGUUUGAGAUAAUUGUGUUGAAGGAACUCGGCAAACUGCAUGCGUAACUUCGGGAGAAGCAUGACCUUUUCAUGGGUAACCAUAUUUGGGUGUAAUAAAAUUGAGGGAAGCGACUGUUUAACAAAAACACAGGACUCUGCAAAAUCGUAAGAUGAAGUAUAGAGUCUGACGCCUGCCCGGUGCUGAUCAGCGAAAGCCUGGAUGUUCGAAGCAUCCGGUCAAAGCUUCAGUAAACGGCGGCCGUAACUAUAACGGUCCAAAGGUAGCGAAACCCCUUGUCGGGUAAGUUCCGACCUGCAUGAAUGGCGUAACGACUUCCCUGCUGUCUCCAGCACAAGCUCAGUGAAAUUGAAAUCCUCGUGAAGAUGCGAGGUACCUGCGGCAAGACGGAAAGACCCCGUGCACCUUCACUGCAACCUUGUAUUGAUGGACUUUGAUCAAUUGUACAGUGUAGAUGGUAAGCGAUAACCGUUGGACGUAAGCCCAACGUAAGCUGUCAAUGAAACACCAUCCUGUUAUCAAACAACAUCUUAUUGUUUUAAGCCAAUCUUAAUACAAGACCAUGCAAGGUGGGUAGUUUGACUGGGAUGGUCACCUCCUAAAAGGUAACAGAGGUGUACAUAAGGUAGGCUCAUGACGGUUGGAAAUCGUCAGUAGAGCACAAUGGCAUAUGCCUGCUUAAGACUGCGAGGCAGACAUGUCGAGCAGAGACGAAAGUCGGUCAUAGUGAUCCGAUAACACCAUGUGGAAGGGUUGUUGCCAACGGAUAAAAGGUACGCCGGGGAUAACAGGCUAAUAGCUCCCAAGAGUUCUUAUCGACGGAGCUGCUUGGCACCUCGAUGUCGACUCAUCGCAUCCUGGGGCUGAACAAGGUCCCAAGGGUAUGGCUGUUCGCCAUUUAAAGCGGUACGUGAGUUGGGUUCAGAACGUCGCAAGACAGUUCGGUCCCUAUCUGCCGUGGGUUCAAGGGUAUUGACAGGACCUGUCUCCAGUACGAGAGGACCGAGAUGGACAUACCUCUGGUCUACCUGUUGUCGUUGCCAACGGCAUGGCAGGAUAGCUAAGUAUGGAACAGAUAACAGCUGAAUGCAUCUAAGCCGGAAGCUAACCUGAAAACAAACCCUAAGUAAGAGUUGUGAUAGACCAUCACGUUGAUAGGUCAGAUGUGUAAGUGCGGCAACGCACUCAGCUAACUGAUACUAACUAUUCGAAAACAAGCAACA